Molecule: non-coding RNA, 93 nt
Organism: Peniophora sp. CONT
Lineage: Eukaryota; Fungi; Basidiomycota; Agaricomycetes; Russulales; Peniophoraceae
Source: Rfam
GGCUCGAUGGUCUAGUGGUAAGAUACUUGCUUUGGGUGUAUAACCGUCCAAGAGAUGUGCAAGGGAUCCCGGGUUCGAACCCCGGUCGAGCCC